This 476-nucleotide ribosomal RNA is filed under the name uncultured bacterium. RNAcentral describes it as "partial 16S ribosomal RNA". It matches the Rfam family "Bacterial small subunit ribosomal RNA", at positions 355 to 819 of the family's 1533-position model. The record is from RNAcentral.
UGGGGAAUAUUGGCACAAUGGGCGCAAGCCUGAUGCAGCCAUGCCGCGUGUGUGAAGAAGGCCUUCGGGUUGUAAAGCACUUUCAGCGAGGAGGAAGGUGGUGAACUUAAUACGUUCAUCAAUUGACGUUACUCGCAGAAGAAGCACCGGCUAACUCCGUGCCAGCAGCCGCGGUAAUACGGAGGGUGCAAGCGUUAAUCGGAAUUACUGGGCGUAAAGCGCACGCAGGCGGUUUCGUUAAGUCAGAUGUGAAAUCCCCGGGCUCAACCUGGGAACUGCAUUUGAAACUGGCAAGCUAGAGUCUCGUAGAGGGGGGUAGAAUUCCAGGUGUAGCGGUGAAAUGCGUAGAGAUCUGGAGGAAUACCGGUGGCGAAGGCGGCCCCCCUGGACGAAGACUGACGCUCAGGUGCGAAAGCGUGGGGAGCAAAACAGGAUUAGAUACCCUGGUAGUCCACGCUGUAAACGAUGUCGAUUUU